GCUUCACACCGUCAACGCCGCCCCCAACUUCCACUAAUUACAGAACGGCCAAGAGACGGAAGGGCAUUCCCCACAGAGCCCCAAUGGGAGGGCUAAUCAUCGAAUAUUAAGUCAAGCCCUUGCACUUUUAGUAUAUUUACCUAAAUGCCUCACUUAUACAGUAAGUCUAUCACAAAUGCCCCUCCAAUCGCUUGAGCUUUUUUCUCAAAAAGGCCAUGUUUUGGAGAAAAUUAGAAAAACGCCCACUUAGCUUUCUGGUAUUGUACAUAGAAGCCGUAUAGGAACAAGUGCAAGUGUUGGAAAAGUUAGAGAAUAAGACAGUAAC
This 325-nucleotide long non-coding RNA is filed under the name Malus domestica (apple). RNAcentral describes it as "long non-coding RNA (MDOM_LNC005525)". The record is from RNAcentral. Lineage: Eukaryota; Viridiplantae; Streptophyta; Magnoliopsida; Rosales; Rosaceae.